UUCAGCUCCUCGAGAACACAUUCUCCCUUAUAAUAUGCAAAUCCAUUGUUUGACUUUGAAACAUCCCACUAACUUUCAAACAUGCUGUUGGAAAGUCAUCAGCUGCAAAAGAGCCUGCAGCUGAUGCAGAAGUCCCUGAACAAGCAAAGGUUGUAAUAGAGGAGCCCACAGAGGCCAAAGAGGUCACCAGAUUCGCUGCAACUGGAGUUACGGGUAGUUGACAGCCACUGUGUGGGUGCCGGGAGCAAAAGUGGGGUCCUCUGCAAGAUCAUUGUCUACACUGACCCUUCAGAGGCUAGAGGGGAAGCUUCCCACUGCCCCGGCAAGAGGAAAGAUCGAAGUGCUCACCAGGAGAAGGAAGAUUUGGUUAUGGCAGAAUUCUUCGUUGGAUCGCACAAUGCUUUCUUUAUACCUAACAAAUGUCAAGCAAACGAACCGAAAUGAAUGACAUGCAUCCCACCUGAUGACUGAGACUAGAUGAAUGGAGACAACCCAGAUAUCUACAAAGAAGAAAACCAAUAAAAUGUCACUUAUCUAUAUAGGAUCGAAACCAACAAAAGAGUAACAAAAAAAAUAUGGAUACACACAGAAACAGCAAGAAAUUUCAGAACACUAUGUGAAUUGACAGAAGCCUACUCAAAAGAACAUAUUGUUAAGUUGCAUUUAUAUGGCAUUCUAUAAAAGACAAAUCUCUAUGGCAGAGAUAACAGGACUGGAGACAUGGGGCAGAGGUUGAGAGCACCUGCUCUUCCUACAGAAGACCAGAGUUCAGUUCUCACCACCUGGAGCAGGAGGCUCACAACUGUAGGCAGAAGUUUCUGUCCCACCAGCAGCUCCCAAAUAAACACACUGAGACUUAUAUUAAUUACAAAUGCUCAGCCAAUAGCUCAGGCUUGUUACUGGCUAACUCAUAUUUAAAUUAACCCGUAUGUCUUAUCUACAUUCUACCACAUGGCUUGGUACCUUUUCUAAGUUCAGCAUGCUCAUCUCACUUCUCCCUGCAUCUGUUGGUGACUCCUCUCACUCCUCCCUUGUUCAUCCCAGCAUCCUUAGUUUAGUUGUCCCGUCUAUACUUCCUGCAUGGCUAACGGCCAGUCAGUUCUUUAUUAACCAAUGAGAGUAAUACAUAUUCACGGUGGACAGAAGGAUUAUUCCACAGCACACAACUGUCUGUGAUUCCAGCUCCAGGGCAUCCAGUGCCCUCUUCUAGCCUCCUCAUGCACUGGCACACAUAUGGCAUAGUCACACACAUAUACACAAAAAUAAAAAUAAAUCUUGUGGGAUAGGGCAAGUGUGUUGGUUACAUGCCUUUAAUCCUAGCCCUCGAGAAGCAGAGACAGGCAAAUCUCUGUGAUACUCAGGCCAGCCUGGUCUACAUAGUGAGUUCUAGACCCUAUCUCAAAAUUAAUUAAAUAAUUUUUAAAAGAAAAGAAAAAUUAAAAUAGUUGUUUCCUCUAUUUUGGGGGUACUAUGGUCUUUCCAAAAUUCAUAUGUUGAAUAUGAUCAUCAAUGCCAAAUAUUAGCAGAUGAACUUUUGGGAUCAAAAAUGAUGAAAGGCUCAGUGAGUUAGCUAUAUCCUUUGCAUUAUGCAAGGGCAGAGCAAGAAGAUGUGUCUGUGAAACAGGAAGUGGUCCCUUACAUACAGCACCACAUCUGCACUCCAACCUUGGACUUUCCAGUGUCCAGAACUGUGGGAGAAUAAAUGCACGUUAUUUAUUAACCCACCAAGGCAUUACAAUACUUUAUUAUUACGGCCAGCGAAUCAGACUAGGACAGUGGGAGAGAGAGACUACCUGGGAAGGAAUAUGAAAGGACCUUGUGACUGGGGCGUGCUGAGUAGCAGCAUGCUUGCUGAACAUGCAUAAGGCCCUGGGUUUAACCCCUAGCCCCACUGCCUAUGUGUACACAUGUGUGCAUUCAUGCAUGCGUGUGUGUGUGUGUGUGUGUGUGUGUGUGUGUGUGUGUGUGUAUGUGUAUGUGUGUGUGUGUGUGAUGAGGGUUUGGCUUUGUUCAGUUUUGUUUGAGACAGGAUGUCAUUUUGUAGCCCUGGCUAGCCUCCAACUCACUGUUUGGACUCUAACCUCCAGCUCAUGGUCAUUUUGACUCUCAAGUAUUAGAACUGCAGAAGCAUGCCUGGCUGCACUUGGCUCCUAGGAAAAUGGUUCUAGUUCUUCUGCUAUUCUAAACAUAAUUUCAUAAUGUAACUCUUCAAAUUACAAAAGUAAUAAUG
Long non-coding RNA from Peromyscus californicus insignis, 2230 nucleotides. RefSeq lists it as uncharacterized. Lineage: Eukaryota; Metazoa; Chordata; Mammalia; Rodentia; Cricetidae. The record is from RefSeq and is a predicted model, not a curated record. The transcript has 6 exons.